GUGGGGGGGGAAUUCCAGCACUCCCAGGCAAAGGAGGAGGUGGGGGGAUGGCAGUACCUCCAGGCAAAGAAGAGGGUGAAGGGAUGCCAACACCCUCAGGCAAAGGAGGGGGUGGAGGGAUGGUAGCAUCCCCAGACAAAGGAGGGGGUGGAGAGAUAGCAGUACCUCCAGGUAAAGAAGGGGGUGAGGAGAUGCAAACACCCCCA
This 206-nucleotide long non-coding RNA is filed under the name Homo sapiens (human). Its description in RNAcentral is "HSALNT0095429". The record is from RNAcentral. Lineage: Eukaryota; Metazoa; Chordata; Mammalia; Primates; Hominidae.